GACGAACCGUACGAACGUUAUUCGGAAUCAUUGGGCUUAAAGCGCGUGUAGGCGGAUUCGUGCGUCUGUCGUUGAAAUCCCCCGGCUCAACCGGGGAAGUGGCGCGGAUACGACGAGUCUGGAGGGGCAUAGGGGGACCUGGAACUUCCGGUGGAGCGGUGAAAUGCGUUGAGAUCGGAAGGAACGCCCGUGGCGAAAGCGAGGUCCUGGAUGCCUACUGACGCUGAGACGCGAAAGCCAGGGGAGCGAACGGG
Molecule: ribosomal RNA, 254 nt
Filed under: uncultured bacterium
Lineage: Bacteria
Description: partial 16S ribosomal RNA
Rfam family: Bacterial small subunit ribosomal RNA
Source: RNAcentral